UCCUCCCUCUGUCGGCGUGCUCAACACAUGCAACUCGAACGGAAAGGCCCUGCUUUUGUGGGGUGCUCGAGUGGCGAACGGGUGAGUAACACGUGAGUAACCUGCCCUUGACUUUGGGAUAACUUCAGGAAACUGGGGCUAAUACCGGAUAGGAGCUCCUGCUGCAUGGUGGGGGUUGGAAAGUUUCGGCGGUUGGGGAUGGACUCGCGGCUUAUCAGCUUGUUGGUGGGGUAGUGGCUUACCAAGGCUUUGACGGGUAGCCGGCCUGAGAGGGUGACCGGCCACAUUGGGACUGAGAUACGGCCCAGACUCCUACGGGAGGCAGCAGUGGGGAAGAUUGCACAAUGGGCGGAAGCCUGAUGCAGCAACGCCGCGUGCGGGAUGACGGCCUUCGGGUUGUAAACCGCUUUCGCCUGUGACGAAGCGUGAGUGACGGUAAUGGGUAAAGAAGCACCGGCUAACUACGUG
Molecule: ribosomal RNA, 468 nt
Filed under: uncultured bacterium
Lineage: Bacteria
Description: partial 16S ribosomal RNA
Rfam family: Bacterial small subunit ribosomal RNA
Source: RNAcentral